AAAUUUUUAAGUAAGAUUAAUAGUUUAAUCAAUAGAUAUUGGGAUUUUAAUCUACUUUAGGAUUGGUUUGAAUUGAUUAGGGUUUGUCUUAGAUUUGGUUUAGGAUUUAAGGUUUGUCAAGGAUUUGAUUGAAAAUCUAGAAUUUUUCUAGGAUUUGGUUUAAAAUUUAGUUAGGAUUUGACCUAGAAUUUAGUUAAGAUCCA
Molecule: long non-coding RNA, 203 nt
Filed under: Physcomitrium patens
Lineage: Eukaryota; Viridiplantae; Streptophyta; Bryopsida; Funariales; Funariaceae
Description: long non-coding RNA (PPAT_LNC003282)
Source: RNAcentral